This 256-nucleotide unclassified non-coding RNA is filed under the name Mycosphaerella sp. Its description in RNAcentral is "partial contains 5.8S ribosomal RNA, internal transcribed spacer 2, and large subunit ribosomal RNA". The stretch from base 1 to 52 matches the Rfam family "5.8S ribosomal RNA", at positions 103 to 154 of the family's 154-position model. The record is from RNAcentral. RNAcentral also lists the same sequence under 2 other names. Lineage: Eukaryota; Fungi; Ascomycota; Dothideomycetes; Mycosphaerellales; Mycosphaerellaceae.
AACGCACAUUGCGCCCGCCAGUAUUCUGGCGGGCAUGCCUGUUCGAGCGUCAUUUCAACCCUCAAGCCCCCGGGCUUGGUGUUGGGGAUCGGCGUGCCCUCGUGGCGCGCCGUCCCCUAAAUCUAGUGGCGGUCUCGCUGUAGCUUCCUCUGCGUAGUAGCAACACUCGCACUGGAUCGCAGCGCGGCCACGCCGUUAAACCCCCCACUUCUGAAAGUUUGACCUCGGAUCAGGUAGGAAUACCCGCUGAACUUAA